GCUCCCCGCGCGGCCAAUGGGGCGGCGGCGGCCCGGGCGCUGGCUGUAAGCGCCCUCGCGAUUGGCCGCCAGAGGCUGCGGUGCAAGCGCCUCGCGGAUUGGCCGGAAGGGUGGCGGGAAGGUGCGUCCGCCGUGUGAGGGGAAGAGGUGACGUCAUGCUGCUGACGGUAACGCCAUGCUGCUGGCGGUUACGUCACGGUGGUCCUGCUGAAGAGAAAACGACUUGCAGGUGAACAGAGUAACAACAAACCCAAGGCUUCGACUGCUUUCAUUUCUAGUGCUAAGCAAGGCUUUUAAUCCCAACGAUGCUCAACAGGAGGGAAUUUACCUGCUUUUCUUAAAGCCAGAGAAAUCUUCCAGCAGAUGGGGGAAAAAAAACCCAAACCAAAACCUAGAUGCUUGUGUGUUUUUUUUUUUUUCACUGUGUAUGAAUACUUAAAAUUUGUUUCUAAUGAAAAAUGACAUAUUUCAAUGGUUAUCAGUAAAUUGCACAGGUGUAGUGUUUACAAAUGAAUUGCCAUCUCCAGUGUUGUGUUAUUGGGACCUCCAGUACUCUCUAAAACAUCCUGUUUAUAUAAAAUAUUAGCAUAAUAAAAGGCAAAUAAUUAGGUUCUUGAUGAACCCUUCCAGAGUUUGCUUUAAAUACUGCUGCCUGUGGAAUAAUUUUCUAGCAGGGAGAUGAAAGUCAAACAGUUACAUAUCUGUUGGUUUCUUCUUGUCUUUCUGGGUCUUGCUCACUGUGAGCCUUACAUGUUUCUCAAAACACUGAAUAAAACAAGACUGAAGUAA
Molecule: long non-coding RNA, 789 nt
Organism: Pseudopipra pipra
Lineage: Eukaryota; Metazoa; Chordata; Aves; Passeriformes; Pipridae
Exons: 3
Source: RefSeq, a predicted model, not a curated record